GCUUGUCUCAAAGAUUAAGCCAUGCAUGUCUAAGUAUAAACAAAUCUAUACGUGAAACUGCGAAUGGCUCAUUAUAUCAGUUAUAGUUUAUUUGAUGGUUCAUACUACUUGGAUAACCGUAGUAAUUCUAGAGCUAAUACAUGCGUCAAAACCCGACUCCUGGGAGGGUUGUAUUUAUUAGAUGGAAACCAAUGCGGGGCAACCCGGUAUAUGGUGAUUCAUAAUAACUGUCGUAUCGAGCAAUCGAAGCGCCAUACAAGUUUCUGCCCUAUCAGCUUUGGAUGGUAGGGUAUUGGCCUACCAUGGCUUUAACGGGUAACGGAGAAUUAGGGUUCGAUUCCGGAGAGGGAGCCUGAGAAACGGCUACCACAUCCAAGGAAGGCAGCAGG
This 389-nucleotide ribosomal RNA is filed under the name Uroglenopsis americana. RNAcentral's name for it is "partial small subunit ribosomal RNA". It matches the Rfam family "Eukaryotic small subunit ribosomal RNA", at positions 30 to 432 of the family's 1831-position model. The record is from RNAcentral. Lineage: Eukaryota; Chrysophyceae; Chromulinales; Chromulinaceae.